CGUAAAAUUUGGCUAUUUCAGCACCUUCUUCCCUACUCCGGUUCGCCCGUGAUGUCGACGGUGUGUACCUGAUGUCAAAGCUAUUUAACUUGGUUCCAGCAACCAAAGACGAGUGGUUAGAGAUUUCAGCAGCCUUUAAUCAACUGUGGCAAUUCCCGCACACCCUGGGUGCUUUAGACGGAAUAUCUAUAUAUAUAUCCGCAUUAAAGCCCCAGCGAAUACUGGAUCCCAAUUCUACAAUUUUAAAGUGUUUUAUAGUACCGUGCUAUUUGCAUUGGUAGACGCACAUGGCAGAUUCCUCUUUACGGAUGUGGGCUGUAAUGGGACAGCUUCAGACAGUACAAUCUACCAAGAUGGUCAGCUCUACAGAUGCCUACAAGAGUGUUCGCUUAACAUUCCCGAACCAACACAAUUAGUUGCCGAGUAGUGAUGUGCUGAAUUGUCGGUACCCAAUACUCGGUACCCAAUAUUUGAAGAAAAUUUCGGUACCCGAUACCGAUUCGAUACAUUAAACCUUCCUCAUUACAUAUAGGUACACUUGUUGGCAGCCUAUUAAGUUUAGUCACAUUUUUUAUAAAAGUCUAGCACACAACAUAACCA
Molecule: long non-coding RNA, 600 nt
Organism: Rhagoletis zephyria (snowberry fruit fly)
Lineage: Eukaryota; Metazoa; Arthropoda; Insecta; Diptera; Tephritidae
Source: RefSeq, a predicted model, not a curated record